AGUGAACGCUGGCGGUAGGCCUAACACAUGCAAGUCGAACGGCAGCACAGAGGAGCUUGCUCCUUGGGUGGCGAGUGGCGGACGGGUGAGGAAUACAUCGGAAUCUACUCUGUCGUGGGGGAUAACGUAGGGAAACUUACGCUAAUACCGCAUACGACCUACGGGUGAAAGCAGGGGAUCUUCGGACCUUGCGCGAUUGAAUGAGCCGAUGUCGGAUUAGCUAGUUGGCGGGGUAAAGGCCCACCAAGGCGACGAUCCGUAGCUGGUCUGAGAGGAUGAUCAGCCACACUGGAACUGAGACACGGUCCAGGCUCCUACGGGAGGCAGCAGUGGGGAAUAUUGGACAAUGGGCGCAAGCCUGAUCCAGCCAUACCGCGUGGGUGAAGAAGGCCUUCGGGUUGUAAAGCCCUUUUGUUGGGAAAGAAAUCCAGCCGGCUAAUACCUGGUUGGGAUGACGGUACCCAAAGAAUAAGCACCGGCUAACUUCGUGCCAGCAGCCGCGGUAAUACGAAGGGUGCAAGCGUUACUCGGAAUUACUGGGCGUAAAGCGUGCGUAGGUGGUUAUUUAAGUCCGUUGUGAAAGCCCUGGGCUCAACCUGGGAACUGCAGUGGAUACUGGAUGACUAGAAUGUGGUAGAGGGUAGCGGAAUUCCUGGUGUAGCAGUGAAAUGCGUAGAGAUCAGAGGAACAUCCAUGGCGAAGGCAGCUACCUGGACCAACAUUGACACUGAGGCACGAAAGCGUGGGGGAGCAAACAUGAUUAUAUACUCCUUGUAGUCCAAGGGUGAUUUCCACAUGGGAUGUCAAGGCCUAUAGAAACCGCCGAGGCCGGAAGGGGAGAACAUAAAACAAGAUUUUUGUUCCCUUAAUGGGGGGUAAUUACUUCCUCUCUUUG
RNAcentral lists this ribosomal RNA (895 nucleotides) under uncultured Stenotrophomonas sp. Its description in RNAcentral is "bacterial SSU rRNA". It matches the Rfam family "Bacterial small subunit ribosomal RNA", at positions 28 to 873 of the family's 1533-position model. Lineage: Bacteria; Pseudomonadati; Pseudomonadota; Gammaproteobacteria; Lysobacterales; Lysobacteraceae. The record is from RNAcentral.